This 661-nucleotide ribosomal RNA is filed under the name uncultured bacterium. Its description in RNAcentral is "bacterial SSU rRNA". It matches the Rfam family "Bacterial small subunit ribosomal RNA", at positions 50 to 686 of the family's 1533-position model. The record is from RNAcentral.
UACACAUGCAGUCGUACGAGAACAUGUCCUUCGGGAUGUGGAGUAAAGUGGCGCACGGGUGAGUAACACGUGGGUAACCUGCCUUGGGGAUCGGGAUAACUGGCCGAAAGGCCCGCUAAUACCGGAUAAGACCACAUGAGCUACGGCUCAAGGGGUCAAAGUCGGCCUCUCAACGAAGCCGGCACCACAAGAUGGGCCCGCGGACCAUUAGCUAGUUGGUAGGGUAAUGGCCUACCAAGGCUGAGAUGGUUAGCUGGUCUGAGAGGAUGAUCAGCCACACUGGAACUGAGAUACGGUCCAGACUCCUACGGGAGGCAGCAGUGAGGAAUAUUGCGCAAUGGAGGAAACUCUGACGCAGCAACGCCGCGUGGGUGAAGAAGGCUUUCGGGUUGUAAAGCCCUGUCAGGCGGGAAGAAACUUCCGCAGGUGAAUAGUCUGUGGAACUGACGGUACCGCCAAAGGAAGCACCGGCUAACUCCGUGCCAGCAGCCGCGGUAAGACGGAGGGUGCAAGCGUUGUUCGGAAUUACUGGGCGUAAAGCGCGUGUAGGCGGUCCGAUAAGUCGAGUGUGAAAGCCCGAGGCCCAACCUCGGAAGUGCAUUCGAAACUGUCGGGCUUGAGUACGGGAGAGGGAAGUGGAAUUCCUGGUGUAGAGGUGAAA